CAGCAGUUCAGACACCCAGUUUUGGAAGGAAAUCAGAAUGAAGCAGAAGACUUCCUUUCCAGCUACCAUGUGAGAACUCAUGGUGAAUGAAGAGCAAAUGAGUAAAUGUAGGUAAAGCUCUUAGAAGCAUGCACCUCAGAGUGUCAGCACUAUCUGAUAGUUCCAUUAAUAAGUCUGGAAAAAAUAACAGUACUUCCAGAGACAACAUCUAGAAGGCUACAGAAUAGGAAAUGAAGGAAACAGAUUUUAAUGUGUGUUCUGUUGUAACCUGUGAAUUUUCCACAAGUGUGUUUUUCUCGUUGUUUUUAAUAUAAAAUAUUUUUAUAAACUAAGCCCCAUGUCAUGGCACGUGACACCCACUUUGGUCCCACGGUGAGGAAUCCAGAUAGGGUGCAGUGGGGAUGGCUAUUUCUGCUCUAGGAUGUUGGGAUCUCAGGAGAGGAGAUUCACCAGUUGGGGUUGAUACUGACACUAGGAGCUGGACUCCUCUGAGGUGACGUCACUGCCAGGUCUGUAGCUGAAGCUGCGUUUGCUGGCGGAGCUUCAGUAAGCCUCCCCAUGAGGCCUGGGCUUCCUCCUAGAAGGCAGAACUGCAGAGCUCAUUGUGGGUAGUGGAGAACUCCAACAGGAGAUUGACCUGAGUGGCUCACGGCCAUUUCAGGCUUAACUGUGGACAUUACACAGUGUUCUUUCCAGGACAUCUGUCAGUGUCUUAAUUCUGUAUCUACACAGAGAGAAAGCCAUGAGAGAACCCAAGGAGAAGGCAGUCAUCUCAAAGCCAAGGAUGGACUGCUCAAGAAAAUCCAACUCGACCUUAAAUCCCAGCCUCCAGAACAUGAGAGAAUAGUGUCCGGUCUUUUU
Molecule: long non-coding RNA, 861 nt
Organism: Bubalus bubalis (water buffalo)
Lineage: Eukaryota; Metazoa; Chordata; Mammalia; Artiodactyla; Bovidae
Exons: 2
Source: RefSeq, a predicted model, not a curated record